Molecule: transfer RNA, 87 nt
Filed under: Planctomycetota bacterium
Lineage: Bacteria; Pseudomonadati; Planctomycetota
Also listed under: 1 other name
Description: Planctomycetes bacterium (anaerobic digester metagenome) tRNA-Ser
Rfam family: tRNA
About the family: Transfer RNA (tRNA) molecules are approximately 80 nucleotides in length.
Source: RNAcentral
GGAGAGGUGUCGGAGUGGCUUAUCGAGCUGGUUUCGAAAACCAGUGUGCGCGUCAGCGCACCGGGGGUUCGAAUCCCCCCCUCUCCG